GACGAACGCUGGCGGCGUGCCUAAUACAUGCAAGUAGAACGCUGAAGAGAGGAGCUUGCUCUUCUUGGAUGAGUUGCGCACGGGUGAGUAACGCGUAGGUCACCUGCCUGGUAGCGGGGGAUAACUAUUGGAAACGAUAGCUAAUACCGCAUAAAAUGGAUUAUCGCAUGAUAAUCCAUUGAAAGGUGCAAAUGCAUCACUAACAGAUGGACCUGCGUUGUAUUAGCUAGGUGGUGGGGUAACGGCUCACCAAGGCGACGAUACAUAGCCGACCUGAGAGGGUGAUCGGCCGCACUGGGACUGAGACACGGCCCAGACGCCUACGGAAGGCAGCAGUAGGGAUACGGCGGCAAGGGACGGAAGUCUGACCGAGCAACGCCGAGUGAGGAAAGAAGGUUGUCGGAUCGGAGAGCUCUGUUGUAAGAGAAGAACGAGUGUGAGAGUGGAAAGUUCACACUGUGACGGUAUCUGACCAGAAAGGGACGGCUAACUACGUG
This 497-nucleotide ribosomal RNA is filed under the name uncultured bacterium. RNAcentral's name for it is "partial 16S ribosomal RNA". It matches the Rfam family "Bacterial small subunit ribosomal RNA", at positions 28 to 507 of the family's 1533-position model. The record is from RNAcentral.